Molecule: long non-coding RNA, 603 nt
Organism: Motacilla alba alba
Lineage: Eukaryota; Metazoa; Chordata; Aves; Passeriformes; Motacillidae
Exons: 5
Source: RefSeq, a predicted model, not a curated record
GGAGGUGCUUGGCAAUUACUGCUGUGUUAGAACAGCAGAUAGAUCCUGAGAACUCUGCUCUGGAAAGACAGAAUGGGGAUUUUAUCCUAGUGGAGGAAAGGACUGAGGAGCUCUCUUUAUUUUAUGUAGAGUUCCUUCUAACACCAAAUUGUAAGGAAAAGCCUGUGAAGCCCCUCUUCAAAGCUUUCUUUUUUGGAAUUGUCAUGCUAAAGCAGGAUUUAAUUAAUGCUCUGUAGAUGCUUUUCCAAUGGAAAUGGUCACACUUGGAGAAGAGGAGAUAAAGACCCUCUUGCUUUGCUCUCCACAGUUAAUUUGGCGAACUUUGGUUGGCUGUGGUCCCUGGUAUCUCCCAUGGCCACAGUCUCAGCACUGAAAAUAUCUAUGCAGCAUUCUGAUGGGCGGCAACUGGUCUUCUAAAGCACUUCAAGAAAAAAACUUCAAGAAGUUGAUAAUAGAAAUUGUGCAUCACUUCAGGGUCUUGUGAGGCCACCACGCUAGAUAAAACUUCUUUAAGGCACCUGAGAGAGAGAGAGAAAGAACACCUCCAGAGAGCAGCCUGCUGAUAGAACCUACUUCUAACAAUAUGGUGAGUGUCAUUUUAAA